ACUGAAAAUUUUAAGCAUAAGAACAACAAAAACAGUCCCUCCCCCUUUUAUAAAUAGCACUGAUUGACUAGAAAUAGAUUUCCACCCUUGAAAUCUCUUAAAGACUCAGAAUGUUUUCGUAAACCACAAGAGCAGUACUUCUCCACAAGAGCAUUAUGACUGUGGUUUAUGAUGUCAUCUGGAUUUCUUGAUUGAUUCAUAAUAUAGUUAUCCAGCCAUCUCAAUUUAUUAGCUUAAGCAUUUUUUCUAGACUUAACUUACAUGUCUUGUCAAAUCAGUCUUCUCUUUAGUUCCCAAUAAUGCCAAAUUGCUUGAAUCCUGCAAAUUCCACAUAGUGAAAGGUCUCUCAGCUCCCUCAAGAUUUAUGUCUCCAACUUCCAUUGAGCAGAACUAUUCAAUCAAAAGAUUUACACUGUGUGAAAAUUAGUGACAACAUGUUUUGGUUGGGAGGGCAAAGCUACCAGAGAUGGCCAAGAUCUAUUGAUUGAACACUAGAACUCCUUCCAAAUUAUACCAAGCCCCACUUGGAGGGGAAUUUUGUGCCUGGAACUUAGGCAGUGAAAUGGGUUCUCCUGACAAAAGAUUUACCUAGAUGUAUGGAUGAUUUCCAAGUUAGCACAACUAAGGAAAUAAAGUAUUUCUAAGUGUCCCCUAGGAGCAAAAGCAUCCCUACUUGAGAAGGACUGGUGGAGACAAAGGGAAAAAGAAGAGGCUUUGUGUCAGAGAAGUGUUGUUUAGGAGAAUACAGCUGGUGGAAUUGGAAAAUAACUCAGGAAGUCAUGAAGGGAAGAUAUUGAAGUUGAGAAGAGACAAGAGGCAGAAAACUUGGAGCCAAACUACAAAAUUCAGAAGAGAGACGACUUUGAAAAGCAGGCAUAAGAACAAACAGACUGUCUAAUUGGAUCUCCUCAUCUUUUACAAAUAAAAUUCUAGAAAACAGCAAAAGAAAUAAAAUCUAACUUUGCUUAAAGUUAAUGUUUAUAACAGUAAUAUCAUCUCUUAGUUUAUAAUUUGGGGUAAAAAUAAUUCAGUCUAUUUUUUUGUUGGUGGUGAUACGUAUUUUAUUGUGAAAAUUUGCAAAAGAC
This 1085-nucleotide long non-coding RNA is filed under the name Macaca mulatta (Rhesus monkey). RNAcentral's name for it is "lncRNA (ENSMMUG00000055474.1)". The record is from RNAcentral. Lineage: Eukaryota; Metazoa; Chordata; Mammalia; Primates; Cercopithecidae.